Molecule: ribosomal RNA, 1026 nt
Filed under: Microbacterium sp. LPPA 1491
Lineage: Bacteria; Bacillati; Actinomycetota; Actinomycetes; Micrococcales; Microbacteriaceae
Description: bacterial SSU rRNA
Rfam family: Bacterial small subunit ribosomal RNA
Source: RNAcentral
UACACAUGCAAGUCGAACGGUGAAGCCCAGCUUGCUGGGUGGAUCAGUGGCGAACGGGUGAGUAACACGUGAGCAACCUGCCCCUGACUCUGGGAUAAGCGCUGGAAACGGCGUCUAAUACUGGAUACGAGUAGCGACCGCAUGGUCAGUUACUGGAAAGAUUUAUUGGUUGGGGAUGGGCUCGCGGCCUAUCAGCUUGUUGGUGAGGUAAUGGCUCACCAAGGCGUCGACGGGUAGCCGGCCUGAGAGGGUGACCGGCCACACUGGGACUGAGACACGGCCCAGACUCCUACGGGAGGCAGCAGUGGGGAAUAUUGCACAAUGGGCGCAAGCCUGAUGCAGCAACGCCGCGUGAGGGAUGACGGCCUUCGGGUUGUAAACCUCUUUUAGCAGGGAAGAAGCGAAAGUGACGGUACCUGCAGAAAAAGCGCCGGCUAACUACGUGCCAGCAGCCGCGGUAAUACGUAGGGCGCAAGCGUUAUCCGGAAUUAUUGGGCGUAAAGAGCUCGUAGGCGGUUUGUCGCGUCUGCUGUGAAAUCCGGAGGCUCAACCUCCGGCCUGCAGUGGGUACGGGCAGACUAGAGUGCGGUAGGGGAGAUUGGAAUUCCUGGUGUAGCGGUGGAAUGCGCAGAUAUCAGGAGGAACACCGAUGGCGAAGGCAGAUCUCUGGGCCGUAACUGACGCUGAGGAGCGAAAGGGUGGGGAGCAAACAGGCUUAGAUACCCUGGUAGUCCACCCCGUAAACGUUGGGAACUAGUUGUGGGGUCCAUUCCACGGAUUCCGUGACGCAGCUAACGCAUUAAGUUCCCCGCCUGGGGAGUACGGCCGCAAGGCUAAAACUCAAAGGAAUUGACGGGGACCCGCACAAGCGGCGGAGCAUGCGGAUUAAUUCGAUGCAACGCGAAGAACCUUACCAAGGCUUGACAUAUACGAGAACGGGCCAGAAAUGGUCAACUCUUUGGACACUCGUAAACAGGUGGUGCAUGGUUGUCGUCAGCUCGUGUCGUGAGAUGUUGGGUUAAGUCC